GAUGAACGCUGGCGGCGUGCCUAAUACAUGCAAGUCGAGCGAACAGAUAAGGAGCUUGCUCCUUUGAAGUUAGCAGCGGACGGGUGAGUAACACGUGGGUAACCUACCUAUAAGACUGGGAUAACUUCGGGAAACCGGAGCUAAUACCGGAUAACAUUUAGAACCGCAUGGUUCUAAAGUGAAAGAUGGUUUUGCUAUUACUUAUAGAUGGACCCGCGCCGUAUUAGCUAGUUGGUAAGGUAACGGCUUACCAAGGCGACGAUACGUAGCCGACCUGAGAGGGUGAUCGGCCACACUGGAACUGAGACACGGUCCAGACUCCUACGGGAGGCAGCAGUAGGGAAUCUUCCGCAAUGGGCGAAAGCCUGACGGAGCAACGCCGCGUGAGUGAUGAAGGGUUUCGGCUCGUAAAACUCUGUUAUUAGGGAAGAACAAAUGUGUAAGUAACUGUGCAUAUCUUGACGGUACCUAAUCAGAAAGCCACGGCUAACUACGUGCCAGCCGCCGCAGUAA
Molecule: ribosomal RNA, 513 nt
Filed under: uncultured bacterium
Lineage: Bacteria
Description: partial 16S ribosomal RNA
Rfam family: Bacterial small subunit ribosomal RNA
Source: RNAcentral